AACGCACAUUGCGCCCUGUGGUAUUCCGCAGGGCAUGCCUGUUCGAGCGUCAUUUCAACCCUCAAGCCCUGCUUGGUGUUGGGCCGGGCCCGUCGCGGCCGGCCCUAAAGACAGUGGCGGCGCCGCUCGGCUCUCAGCGUAGUACACCCCUCGCUGCGGUCCCGGGCGGCUGCCCGCCAGAACCCCGACUCUGUGGUUGACCUCGGAUCAGGUAGGGAUACCCGCUGAACUUAA
RNAcentral lists this unclassified non-coding RNA (234 nucleotides) under uncultured fungus. RNAcentral describes it as "partial contains 5.8S ribosomal RNA, internal transcribed spacer 2, and large subunit ribosomal RNA". The stretch from base 1 to 52 matches the Rfam family "5.8S ribosomal RNA", at positions 103 to 154 of the family's 154-position model. Lineage: Eukaryota; Fungi. RNAcentral also lists the same sequence under 1 other name. The record is from RNAcentral.